Molecule: long non-coding RNA, 589 nt
Filed under: Oryza brachyantha (malo sina)
Lineage: Eukaryota; Viridiplantae; Streptophyta; Magnoliopsida; Poales; Poaceae
Description: long non-coding RNA (OBRA_LNC003464)
Source: RNAcentral
UCCAGAAUUAACUCCUACAGGAUGGUCCAUGAAUAAAAUGUAGUUGAAAAGCAGCAGAUGUCAUAAUGCAGGGCAUAUAACUUGCAGCAUGUGUUAUGGGGUGAGGGUGCAUGAAAUUGCAGGGUACUGGAAAUAUCAGCCUAAUAUGUGGUAAUGCUUACACAGAUUCUGGAAACUACACUGCAGCACCACUACAAUACUUUCCAACAUACAAAUACAAGUAUAAAUAGUAUCUCCAGAAAAUAGUGGCUUUUAUCCAUAAAUGUGUAAUAGAAACAAAAUAUGCCUCAAGGAUUUAUUAGGUGAAGAGUCACUUUUAUCCACAAAUACAACACAUACACACACAAAGUACUUCUCUGAGAAUAAGCACAAUUCUAUUUAUUGGACUGAAAAUAUGCUGUCCAAGUGCAGGUGUUCUGUAUCCACUGAAUAUAAUAAGUUCAUCACAUGAAAGUAUGCAACAGUCGGUCACAAACCAUCGGGCCCCUAGAACCGCUAACUAAACCAGCCAAGUAGAAUUUCAUCAGAUCCAAAUAAUUCUUUUUUCUUUAUGUGGACAGAGUUUCAGUUUUUCAACAAGUAGAACAAG